UAUUCCACUAGUAAAACAUGUGCUAUCAUUGACACAAAAUGAGAAGAGAAUAAUAAGGCUUCACUGCUGCUUUAGAAGAGGGACAAUUGGGGGAAGAGUGUUGAACUUGAUUUAAUUCAUUUAACAAAGUGAAUAAAAUCAUCUCUAGUUCAUAUCCUCUGCAUGCAAUAAGUUAAUCCUAAAACAUGCAUAUAGGAUUGCUAAAUGGAUCCUGUUUUGGGUGGGGAGAGUACAUAGUGCAACAAUAUCACUACAUAAAAAAAAAUUAGAAAAAUAAGGAAAUACUUACAAACCUAAUUGUUCAACAACUGUCAAGAAAUGACCCCAACAAGUAUACCGCCACGGAACAAGACCGAAUCUGUUCACAUGUAUAUCAAGCAAUGCAACUACUAGCACUAGAAGUUGUGUAACCAAGAAAUAGAUCACAGUGGGAGAUCUCCAAGACUGGAUUCUGCAAAAGCAUAGCCAAAUGGACAAACUGUCAAAAUAUGCAGAGACUGAAGGAACAGAAGAAUUAAAGAAAACAAAAUAUAUCCUUACAUCAUAAAACCAAUUAGCUUGAGCCACCAAGCAUCUCCUACACUCUGUUUAUAGCCUCCAACAGCCCAUAUAACAAGAUAUGCAACUUGUGAAAGAAAAACAAGUAGGGAAAAGAUGAUAACAGGCCACAGUAACAAAUAUUUCCUCCUGAAACGAAAUCCUAUAAGAAAGUAAUCCCAUGUUACUUUAUAAGAAAUGAAAACAACUUCAAAUAAAACCAUUAAAAUAACAAUAAUCAGAAAAAGAAGUUAAACUUAUAAAAAAUGCAAGAAGUCAAGAAAUAUCAUAAACCCCUCUUCUAAUUUUCUUAUAGACUCGGGGUUAUGUAACAUUAAAGACUGCUGAAUUCUACAAUAAGCACUUAGCAAAGUUCAUUAGAUACGUACAGCAAAAUCUAAAGCACCAACAAGAUAAAAGUAGUAAGAAAAAACAAUGAACAACUGAGACCCUGCUGAAUUAUGGAAAAUUAGAACUACAGAACUGCAAAGAUAAAGCAAAAAUUUACCAGAAAAUCUUCAUCACUUACCUAUUUUAGGUGCAGUAUACUGAAUGAGAAGGAAAGCGAUCAAAUCAACAUGAGAGAUCAAACUCCAAUUGAGCAAUGAAGCUUCAAGAAAGACAGAACAGGUAAAAACUAUUAAUUAAUUGAUGGCAGAGCAUAUAUGUAUUUGUAUAUGCAUACACACAACAAAAAAAAUGCAGUUUCAAACAGUAACUCAUAAAAGAAUAAAUGAUCUCAACGUCAGUAGAGAAUUUUUCUUGCUGGGAGUCUUCUAUGUAGAGCAUUCUGUAAGUUAUCAAUUUACAGGUCUCUCAACUUAUAAAAUUUAAAAUUAACACUCUAUGGCACUCUGCUAAGACCGUGCCUCAAAGCUCAUUAACAAACCAACCUGUCCCUCACCAAAAAGAAUACCAAUGAAGUUUUCGCUUUUCAAGUGACUUUUAACUGCAAAAUCCCUUCUACCCUUCUCACCUUUCAGGUUCCAAAAUAACAAAGACUGGAUGAUGUCCUGUGUCACAAGCUAAUUUUAAACUAGGUUCAGGUACCCAGGAAUUAGAUUUUUACAGUCUCAAAAACUUGAAACUUACAAUUGAUACUGGUCUAGUUCAAGAAUGACCCCUCAAAGUGAAUUUUCCAAACAAUAUAUGAAAAGAACAGAAGGUUGCAUAUAAAUGCAAAGACUAGUGUUCCCAUCAUGAACUCAUGAGCAGUAAACAAAAUCCCUACUCUUAAACAGCAGCUUGGAUGAUAAAAAAAAAAGGGUCAUUUAGACUCUCCUCAACUUCCUAAGACACUCCCUUAUGGAAUUCGGAUUUGGUUAUUUCUCUAUGGGACAUAGCAUAGCUCAAAUUAUACAGAUAAACGCGAGCACUUUAAGACAUAGCUCAAACAAUGCAUAUGUAAAGUAGAUUCCAACAGACAACCAACACCACUAAAUGAAUUUCUAAUUAAAAAAAAAGGGGGGGGAAUGAAGCAAAAAAGAAAGAAACCCGGAGUCUUUAUAUAAAUUUAUAAGGGAUGAAAUUAAAAGUAAAGAGUAUUAAGAAACAAAGCAUACCUGUAAGAAGCAGCAAAGGCAAAGCAAACCCAGUUAGAAAACUCCCCAUGAGAUUAGCACUUGAAUUCCACCAAAAAAACCAGAUCGAUUCACAGCAAAAACACAGAAUACGUUAAUGGGUUUUCGUUUUCCAUUAAAAUCAACAAAAACCCAUUUCACAUCAAAUCAAAAAUUUCCUCCUAAGCAAACGAAACGAGGAAAUUUUUGACUUGAAAACCCCAAGAAUGGAAGUUCGGGUCACGUGUUUUUCAGCAAAAGAGGGAAUAAAUUAAUAAAAAUAAAAACGAAAUUAGCUAUGGGUUUUACUAAGUACAAAACCAAAUUCGUCAAAAUCUGAUGUCCUGAAAUAUGUAUUAAGGAAUUAAAAUAACAGCAAGGUUGAUUUUAUAUUAUGAACAUAAAAAAUGAUUUUUUUAUAUAAGGAAAAUAUGGCUUUACCUGAUAUUCUAGAAUAUUAUAUAACUCAAGAUAUUUUUUUUACCCGCGCAAUGCUGCGAAGGGAAAUAUCUUUCUAGCAUAUUCAUUGAUUUAUUUAUUUAUUUUGGUACAUAUAAUUAGAGUCAAAAUUUUUAAAAUUCCAUGGGUGAUUGAAUCAAUUAUAUCACCAGUUUAUUUAAUUAAAUUAAAUAAAUUAUUAAAAAUUUAUAAAAUAUUAAAAAUUUGGUUUGUGUUUGAAUUAAUUGAUUUAUAUCAAUUUCUAAAUCUAUUGAUCUAAUUACUUUUUUGAAUUGGUAUCCUAAUUGAUUCUCGAUUCGAUCAAUUAAUUUAUCUAAUUUGAUUUAAAUAAUCUCAAUAAAGCUAAAUGAAUAUAAAAUUUAGAGGAUAAAUAAAAAUGAUAAAUAUUGUAUAUGUAUAAAUGAAGGAUUAAAAAAAUCAAGCAAUGAAAUAUGAAAAUAUUUAUUUCAAUAUUUUUUUAAGAAAUAAAAAAUUAAAGUGUUGUUUUUGAUAAAAAAGGUUAUCAAAAUAAAAAUGGAAAGAAAAAAUUUUCAAAUAUUUAAGAGUUUAAUAAUAUUUUUUCAAAAGAAAAAAUUGAGGGUUUAAUUAAAAUUUUGUGAGAUUAAUGAGAAAUUCAAAAAAAAAUUAGAAGAGCUUAAUUAAAAAUUUCAAAUAAAUUAAAAUACAUAACGAAAAUUUUCAAUACAAAAAUAAAAAUAAAAAUUUUCAAAAAAUUAGGAGAUCAAAGCUCCCUUAGCCUCCAUUACGAUCCGCCACCGCCUUUAUGGUUCAUCAGUUCACUAUUUGAAAGAGUAAGAUAUAUGAUGUGCUUAUUAAGUUCAACUGAACACUUAUAUUAUAAUCAUUUAUCAAUGGUUACAAAUAUUGAAAAUCAAGACCAAUUAACCAUAUUGAACUAAGAUUUUUCGGGCUUCAUUAAGUUGACAUUUUUGAUCAUUCUUUCUUUUGUUUUCUUGAUAUAUUUAUCGGAUAUUUCAUUGAUAUUCAACCCCAAACCUGUAAGCACUAGUCUCGAAUCAUCAGGUCGGACUGGUGUUGUCGGUUUCGCCAUGGCAAAUUCAUUGCCUGCCUCCCCACUGGCUACAGGGACGAUGAUCUUUGGGUGGCCUAUACCAGUUCGCAAUGAAUUCUCCUUCUUACCCGAGGGGUCAGGGACCGACAAACCGAACUUGUCAACGGUAGGCUGAUCAUCCAACUCUUCUGUUUGCUUAAACAAAAUCUUAACUGUAGGAUCUGAACCAUCAUCCUUGGCUUGGCUUGCAAGUGGUUCUUGUACUUCAUUGCUAGCAAAUUCACCUAGUGACCCUUUACCAGUUGAGCCCUGAGUCAUGAUGUGACCCAAGGUUAACCAUUUCGAGCCUUUACGAAUGAAGUUGAAGAGCCUAUGGCAAAUGCCAAAUGGCUGAUCAUCCUUUCCCUUCUGCUCCAUUGCCUUGGCUGAAAAUAAGUGGAAAAGAAUCGCUAUUUGAAUGAUUCGAAACUUGGAGCUCAAAAAAAUGAAGAAAGAAAGAGUGAGAUUUUCCAUGGAAGGGAGGGAUAUAAUUUAAUGGAUUCUUGGAAUAAGGGAGGAAUUUGUACUUUCCUUUAAGUCAAAUUUUAUUCCAAAACAGCAACAAGAAACAUCGAGGGGAAUUGGUGAUUGGUGAAUGUAGUUGAUGGAGAGAUUAAGAUACCAUGUGAACUGAAGUUUCUUCUUUUUUUUUUAUUAGCAAAUAUGCUUUGUGAAAUUACUAGGAGAUAAGAUAUUCUUUCUACACUUGAUGUAAACAUAUCUAUGGAAUAAAGUUAGAUGGAGACUUUUGACAUAUGUGCAUGAGUCUCGUGCAUAUUCAAUAAACAAUGACAUGUCAUCAGUGAAAUAAAAGAAAUAGUGAAAAUUUAUAAAUAAAUAUUAAUAACUUCAUUCUAAAAUAAAUCUAAAACUCUAAAAUUAUCAUAAACCUUAAAUCUUAAACUAUAAAAUCUAAACUAAAAACCUUAGAAAAAAAAUAAUUAUAAUUAAUAUUUAUUUUUAUUUAAAUAAUUAUUAUUAUCUCCACUAUUUUAUUAUGCACACCGAUAAUGUAUAAAAUCUAUACACAUUAAAUAUAAUUCAUAUAUAUUAUUAAUGCAAUUUAAGAAUCUUCCACUGGCACUUCAAUUAGAAUAUGCAUAAAUUGUUCUUCACAUGCAUGUGUGUGUGUGUGAAUGGCUAUUUAUAAAGAAAGAAAAAGCAUAAAUUCCUAAGGGGCAGCAUUAAGGGAAACUAAUGGGUGUCUGUUUCACAUGAAAAGAGAAUAUCAACUUUCAUCUACAACUUUGGGAACCCUUUCCUAAUGAAAGAAAAUCAUAACAUAAAAAUAAGUGAAGGGAUUGGAUACGGUGAGGUUUUCUGAUUUGGUGUUUUUUGUGGUAUCAUCAAUUUUAAUACCCAAAAUCUAGAAGUAUAAUUAAUUGAACUCUUUUGAUUGAUUUGGUAGUUAAGGGUUGCUCACUUAGAGAACUCACUCGAGUUUAAAUUUGUGGAGGGGUAAUGGAAGGCCUUUAUAUGGCCAGCUCUUUUAGGAUGUUGUGUGUGCGUGUGUAGCGUAACAGCUUUUAAAAUUGGCAUAAUGAUAACUUUAAUUCUCAACGUUUAUAUAUAUGCCAAUUUAUUUAGUCUUGAUUCUAAAAUAUCUAACCCUUAACAUUUACAUAUUGUAUAAUUUGGUCUUUUUUGCUUUUUAUAAUUGGGUAACCAUUUUAUAAUUUUUUAUAAUUGGGUGACAAAAAAUAAAUUUACUAAGUUGGGUGACUACAAUGUGGUUUACCCUUAUAAAAUUUACAUUUGUCUAACCAACAAAUUGCAUUACUUAAUUUAGGGUUGAGUAAAGAAAUUGAGAAAGCCAAAAUUUGAUUUGAACCAUUGCAUUUUAUUCGCUUUGAUUUGGUUUCAGAUUGAUGUUAUCACUCAUAUCUCACAAUUCAAUUUGGGUUCAAUUUUUCCGCAUGAAACUCACUUUAUUCAAAUCAAACCGAAUGAAAAGAAAACCAUAUUUAAACAAAUAGUCGUGAUAGACUAACAGAUAGAUUAUUAAUAUCUACAUGGCUAAUUCAUUUCACCUAAUUAUUAUUAUAUUGUUAAAAAAAACUAAAUAUAAUCAUACAAAAAGUUAAAGUUGUUUAAAUGUUUCAAACAAAAAGUUUAUAUAUAUUAAUGUAAGUGGAUCAUUUAUUGAAUAUGAUAGUUAUAUUUAUAAGCACAAUUAUAAUUUUAGUAAAUUACUUUAUAAAACUUUUAUAAUAAUUUAUUCAUAAAAGAAAUUGUUCACAAAUUGUCAACCGUGUAUGUUUGAUCGUUAUGAAUUUAAUUGAUUAUAUGAUAUAUUGCAAUGACUCAAUUAUAAAUAAUUGAAGCCAGCAACUAAUGAAAUUAAUUAAAAAACGAUACAAUAAACAUUAGGUAUAUGAAUGAUUUAUAUGUUUCUUUUUAACAACUUUGAAUGAUUUAUCAACUUAAUAGCUUAACUUAAAAUGACUUUUUUAAGUGAGGAUAAAUAUAAAAAAGAGUACACAUGAACUUUCAUCCAAUGAAUAAUAUGAUAUAUGAAUUUUGAUUUUGUACGGUUAUACACAUGAAACUUUGAUCGAGGAUCAAUUUUAUUCAUAGAACUUUGAUUUUCAUUCAAUUAGUAAGUAUUUAAAUAAAUAGAUACAAUAAUUUAUUUAUAUUAGAAAAGUAUAAUCAUCUCUGCAUGUAAUGUGUAAACGUAAAAUGUAUUAUAUCAGUAAUGAUGUUAAUGGUUCGUGAAAAUUGAAUCAAAUUAAAAUGUCAUAUGUAAAAUUGCACAAAAUCAAAGUUCAUAUAUAACAUUGCACAUUAGACUCAAGUUCAUGUGCAGUUUUGAUAUUCAUCCCUUUUAAAUAGUAUUUGCAAAUUGAUUAUGAUGUUAAUUUAAUUAUUUAAUUCACUUUAUAAAUGAAUGUAAAGUAUGUAUUAUGAUGGUUAAGAAAAAAUUAAGAAUUGCAAUAUUAGGUUUUUUGGGCCCAAAAACAAUGUGGUUGUUUUUUUCACAAGCAUUGUCCAAAUUUGCCAAAGAAUUGCUAAAUCGAAUCACAAUUAUCGAUUUCAAAUAUUUUGAUUUUUACUCAACACAUUCGAUUUUAAAGGUCGAAAAUCAAAUGAAGCAGUUCAGUUCAAUUUUUGUCUAAUAAAUAUUGUAUCAAACUGAAUCAAAUACACCACUAAUCUAGUUGAUGCCUAGUUCAGGAAUAGGUUGUGCUAUAUGUGAUUUAACUAGACAAGGUAAUGUAAGAAUAACUCACAAUGAUCCAAACAAGUAAAUAAAGAUGACUCAGACUUGAAGUUACCAAACCCAUAAUGACUCGAUAUGAAAACAAAACUCAAAACCUCAAAUUUGAAUAACCUAAGCCCAAAAUACUCGAGAUGCGAAGUCAAAUCAAACCUAAUACAAACCCAAAAUCAACUCAACCCGAAAUGUUCUAAAAAUUUUAAAAUUUUAUUUGACCUGACCUAGAUGGACUAAUUCAAAAUCAAUCUGACCCAUACAAUCAGAAGUUAUACUUAUCAUCUAUUGUCGAUAUGAACAUUUAUAAGCAGAGCAAAUAUCUACUAAAAUAUUUCUAAAAAAUGUAAAAUUAUAAAUUAAUGUAACGAUAAGAUUACACCGUUACUCUCAAAAAGGAAUUUCUAACUUCAUCCUUAAUCAUCUCAUACCCUUGAAGUUGAUAUCAAAAGUAUUAAAUAAUCAAAGCAUUCCACAGCUUGGUGAUAAGGGUUUGAUUGGAAUCAAUUUUGGAGAAUUUUUUUUGCUACCCUAUGUUUUUUAAAACUUAAACUAAAAUCAAAUCGAAAUUUAAAAAUUAUUUGAUAAACCAUAAAACAAAACUCUUAUUGUAAAGUAUGUAAAAAACAAAACAGAAAAUUAAUAUAAAAAGCAAAAACUGAAUUCAAUCGAAUCAAAUUAUUACGGAUAGUUUGAAAUUUUUAUAAUCCAAUUAAAGUAAAAAUCAAUGGUGACCAACCAGCUGGAAAUUUUUGUAUUUGGUUGAUUUGCAAGUAAAAGUUUUAAGGUUAAAGUUAAAAUUUCGUGUUAAAAUUAUUUAACUGAAUUAUUAAUUUUUACAAAAGAUCGAAAGUACAAUUUCACAUUUACUCAAGUAUUUAAAAUGGAUUAUGUAACAUCCUCAAAACCCUAUUGGUCGUAAAUAAUAUGAGAUAAAAUCUUACGAAAAUAAGGUAUAAGAUCAAAGAAAAUGAAAGUUGCAAUAUAUCAAAAGAGAGUUAAAUCAAGAAGCAUGACACGAUGUAUUAAGGAAGUGACUAAAUCGUAAAUAUGUGAAAAGCUUUUGGCUCAAGUGUAAAUAUUCAAAAUUUAAGGGAUUGAAAUGUAAUAAUGGGAAAUUUGAAGGACCAAAAGUGAAAAUAAUCCAAUUUACUAAUAUAUGGAUUGGCAUGCAUGGACCAAAUUGAAUAGGUGAAGAAUUGUGAGGGUCUAAAUUACAAUUUUACUAAAUUAAGUGAUAAUUCAAUGAUGGAAUUUUGAAAGAUCAUAAAUAGUAAAAUUGUCAAUUAGCAAGAGGGAGAAUUAUAGAAUAUAAUGAUGAUGUUGAUGAUAUUUUGGUGAUUUUUUUAAUUAAUUAGUUAAAUAUUAUUUUAUUAAUAUUUUACUUAGAUAUUUAUUAUUAUUUUAUUUAGAAAAUGGUAGUAUAAAAAAAAAGGAAGGAUGAAAGAAAUUUAUCAUCCGUCCAACGUGAGUGAAAGGGUAAGAAAGAAUGUUUUCUUUUCUUUACAAUUUAGUCCUUUGUCAUGAAAACCUACAUUUUUACCCAAAAUCUUUAAAAAUUUCUUUAGAUAUUAAAGAGAGAAGAUGAAAUAGAGAUUUUAGAGAAUAUGCCCAUCAAUUUAGAAUCAAGAAAAUAGUAGAUGAAAGUGGAGAAAAUGAGAAAAAAAAAAGGAAGGAAAGCGGUGAAGAUGAGAAAUGCAUGGAAAUGAAGAAAUUCUUUACAAAAGAGGUAAGUUUCAUACUAAACCUAUUUGUAUUUCAAUAGAUUGAGUUAAAGAUAUUUUGAGUAAGAUGUAUGAAACAUGUAUUUAAUCUAAAUACUAGAAAUAGAAAGUAUUUUGAUGAAGAACAAAUACUUCAAACACUAAAUUGGUAAGAGAGAAUAUGAUUUGUAUGGUGAAAAGUACUAAUAUUAAGAAAUGAAUAUGUAAUCUACACAUAAACAUAAGUAACUAAAUUGUAUAGUAAUCAAAAGUAUGGCAAUAAUGUGUGAUUGAAUGAAAGAUGGUGCAAAGGACCUUGAAAAAGAAAAUAUUUUCAUUAAAACAGUUUGGACAAUAGCAGUGACUUAAUUUUGAAAAUUCACCUAAAAUUUUAGAAAUUUAGUUAGAGAUUUAAUUAAAUAUGGAAUUAAAGCUUAUUGAGUAUAGUUUCAUAUGGAAGAAACGGUGAAAGAAAUUAGACUUUAUAGUUUGAGAUAUAUUAAUUUUUGUGAAACAAGGUUGGAGUGGAUUCGGGUUCUCCUGUUCUAAAUUUGGAAAAUCAUAAAAAAUUGUAAAAAAAAAUGAUUAUGAGUUUAAAUUUAUAUGUUUAAAUUAUUAAUGAGUCUAUUUUCAAUAGAAACAAACGAAAAAAUCAUCCAAACCUCGUACUAAGAAAUAAUUAAUUUUUAGUAAAGAAAUAUCGAAGUUGUCAAGCAACAGAAUAGGGACAAAUUUGAAUAAUUUACCGUACUGAUUGGCUAAAUUAUAAAUUCUGAAAUUUUUAUGGUAAAAAUAUAUUCGAGUCUAGUUUCAAAAAUAUCAAUUGGAUCUUAAUUUCAAAUUCUGUAACUCAAGACAUAAAUAAUUUAGUGACUAUGACUUAAGUGGACAGCUUUGAUAUGAACAUAUAAGUAAAUAGUGGAAUUAUGGACAAUGUUACAUAUAAGCAUGUUAUAUACUAAAAGCUAAAGAUUCUAAUAAAUAUAUACAUAAAAGAUGUGGAAUGGAGAGGAAGAUGAGGGAAAAAAUAUAUAUGAUUAUAUAUAUAGUAGAUGAAUUUGAAAUGUUUCGAAAUGGUUGUAAAUGAUGAAAUGAUUAAUACAUGUGAAUAUGUUUAAACGAAUUGAUAAAAUAACAAGUGAAUAAUUGUUAAUUGAUGUGAUAUUGAAUUCUUAUUAAAAUUUUAUGAAGAAUUAAAUUGAUUGCCACAAUUUAGAAAUAAAUAUGAAAUAUACAUAAAUUGGGUAAACUACUUUGAAAGUGCAAGUCCUCCAAUGGUCUUAUUUGUAAAACUUUGAUAUUUGUCUUAAUUUUAUAAACUUUGUUAUCUUUAAUCGAAUAUCAUGUUUUUAUGAGGACUUGGGAUUAGAAAUAGAUAUCAAUGGAUGAUAUGUAAAAUGAAGUGGCAGUUAUGAUAUCUAAAUACGGUUCAUGUAAUGAUAUAAAAAAAUAAAUAAAUAAAAAUAAAGCAUGGAACUUGUAGGAAAAUGGAGAUUAUGUUAUGAUGACAAGUUUGCUAUGUCAUGACGUGAAAACCCCAAUGUGGCGACGACAAUUCAAAAUUUUUUAUGAACUAUACAAUUUGGCAUUUGAUCAAUUGUAGACGUUUUAAUGAGCUCAUUUAACUUAUAAUUAUUUUUUUCGUAAAUUUAAUUAUUAUUGAAAUGAGUUAAUGAUCUAUAUUAAUUAAAUAAUAUGAUACAUUGAUUUGAAAUUUUCAGUAGUUGCUUCGGUAACGAAUGUAACAUCCUGAUGCCUUGACUCGCCAACCAGGUCGAGUAUGGGGUUGUUACAGAUUAAAUUAAAAUAUUAUAUUUUAAUUUAUAACUUACACAUAGAUCUGUUCGUGGAUCGGGUCACUUGACCCAAUAAGUGGGAAGGUUUGAUUAAAAAUAUAUGCUCGAAAAAUGGGCUUGAACAAAAAAAUAAGACUUGUUUAAAAAAUGGGCCAAGCUUCAGAUAAUGCUUUUUUUGACCCGAGCCCAGCCCAAUCCGACAUAAUUAGAAAAAAAAAGACAAAAAAAGCUAUUUUGAUGCUAUUUUUUAUUAUUAUUUUCUCACUAUUUUACUAUUAUUUUACUAUUAUGUUACUACUAUUUUGUUGUUAUUGUUUGAAUAUUGUAUAACUCUUAUUUUGUUAUUAAUUUUGUUACUAUUUUAGAGGCAUUUGAUUGUUAAGUUACACAUAUCUUAGUGUUAUUUAAGUAUAAAUAUUUUUUUAAUUUGUUGGAAAAUAUUUAUUUUAUUUUAUAAGUAUUUUUUAUGUAUUGUAUUUUAUUUUUUUAUAUAAAAAUUUUAAUUUGGCCGAGUUGAGCUUGGGCUAAAUUUUAGGCCAAUUUUUUAGGUUGGGCCCGGGCCGAACAAAUAGGCCUAAAAUUUUGACAAUGUUCAACCCGAUCCAUUGACAAAUCUACUCAUAUAUAAUAUAUGGACUAAAUUCAUAACUUACAUAUAGUAUAGGGUCUAAUAAUAACUUAAUUUAUAAAAAAAUAACUUUAUAAAGUUAUGAUAAAAAAACUAUAAUAUUUUUAAAUGAAUAAGUAUGUUAUUUUUAUAAUGUAAAGCAUAGACACGUAGAUAAGUUAUGUCUAUAUUUCUUCGUCAUAACUUUUUAUAAAUAUAUAUAUAACCCUUUCAUAACAUGUAAAUUAUUGUUUUAUAAUAAACUUUUGAUCAUAAUUUUAGAAUUAUUUUAGGAUUUUAAAAAAUAUUUUUUAUUAUAACUUUAUAAAAUACACAAUUUUUUUUACAAUAUAAUUUUUUAAGGUUUAUAAUAUAAGAAAAUUUUGGCCAUAACUAAUCCAAGUACUCAUUCAUGUUUAUAAUAUAAUUUCUAUAACUUGUAUAAAAAUAAUUUUUAAAAAUUUAUUUAAGUGUAAUUAACUGCGUAAUUAUUCUAAUUCUCACCAUCCCCCUUAACAAUUGAAAAGUUUAGUUGGGGUGCUCCAAUUUCACCCAAUGCAGUGGGACUCAUCAAUUAUAAUGGUUACACAAACACGUCAUCCUUGUGUAAUUACUAACAAUUACACUUAAAUCUAAUUAUUAGAUGCAUUUCCAAACACUGCCUAAACGAUAGGCAACUUAAGCAAACUUACUUUGAAUAUAAUAUUUAUUUGGAUAAAUAUCUUAUUUUCGUAUCUAAGUUUGGCUUCAAUGUUCAAUUUGAUAAAUGAGUUUUUUUUUUCUCAAUUUGGUACUUGAGUUUAGCUUUAAUAUUUACUUUGGUACUCGAGUUUUUUCAAUUUGAUAUUUGAGUUUUUUUUUGUUCAGUUUAAGUAUCUAAAUUCAGCGUUUAAUUUGGUACGUGAGUCUUUUUUUGGUCCCGAUUAAGUAUCUGUGUUCUUUUUAGCAUAAAACACAUGUCAAUCAUUCAUUGGGCUAUAUUAUAUCAUUUGGCAUAGGUACCAAAUUGAAUAUUGAAGCCAAAUUUAGAUAUCAAGUUAGGAAAAAAAAACUUAGGUACCAAAUUGAACAUUAAAACCAAUCUCAUAUAUUGAAUGAUAUAUUAAUAGUAUUUUUUAAACAUAAUAUUUUAUUUAUAUUAUUUUAUUGACAUAUAUUCGCAAGUGUCUUCAUCUGUUUUACAAUUUAAAUCUAAUCUUAUUCGAGAAAAAAUAAUAUUCAGGUAAAACACUCCUUACAUGACUACUCCAGAAUUUUAUUUAUAUUAUUCAUUCAUUAUUAAAUAAUAAUGUUGCACCAUGAAAUUUGAUAGAUAUUAUUAUUUUUAUGCACGUAUAAGUAUAGAUAAAAGAGUUAUUUUAUAUUGUGGUUGUAAAAUUUUAAAACUUUGAAACUCAUGUGAUGGCUUGAUGGCCAAGAGUGUUCACCGCCUCAGGUGUGACCUGAAUUCGAGUCGCACUAGUCACAUUGGUUGUUUGGGAUAUGCCCUGUUAUUGUAAUUCACCAAAAAUAAAUUAAAACUCUACAAAUAUAAAAAGAGAUGUAAUAAAUAAAAAUAAAAAUUAAUUAUAUAAAAAGGAUAUUUAUCAAAUUUUUAAUUAAAUAUUUAUAUGUAAUAUAAUUACAAUAUUAUUAUUUUAAAAAUUUUAUGAAAAUAUAAACAAAUUAUAUAUUUGGAUGACAUCAUCAUUUGCACAUCAUAUUAUAUUAACAUGAAUUUUUAUUAGAAAUAAACGUUACAUACGGAUUAAAUUUUAACUCGAUUAAUAUUAGUAUUGUUGUCAGUGUAGAAAAAUGAGCGUUCGAGCAUGCUGGAGCAUGUUUAUACUACUAUUUAAUGAUUGAGAUGAAUUAUAGGUCGUUUUAAAUAAUCUUAUCUAGGUAUAAAAUAUAAAAAACUUAGGAGUAUUAUUUUAUAACUACUGAAAUGACUAGAAUACCCCAUUAAAGGAACAACAGUCUUCGGGUCAGUUCUGCAUUACUUUUCAAAAGCACUUCUGGAAGAAAAGUUGUGCAGAAUAAGUUGCUUUUGGCUGAAAUUUUUAGCUUUUCAGAAGUGCUUUUGAAAAGCACUUCUGAAAAAGAGAAAAUAAAAUUUUUAGCUUUUCCUCUCCCCAAAACACUUUUAGUGCUUAAUUACUUUUUCACCCCUCCAAUAACAUAGUACUUCCCCCUUUUUUUUCUUGGUAAUUAAUUGCAAAUGUGUUAAAAUCAUUAAUUAAAAAUAAAAAAUAUUUUUUAAAAUACUAAUUACAAAUAUUUAAUAGUUAUAUUUAAAUAUUUAAAAUAUAAUUUAUAUAUUCUAAUUAAAUUUUAUAAAUAAUUAAUAUUUAUUGCUUAAAAAUAUUUAAAAUUUAUAUUUUAUAUAUUAAAAUAUUAACAAGAAGUUAUAAUAAUUUUUAUAUAUUAUUACUAAAAUAUAAUAAUAUUAACUAAUUUAAAUAUUAUUUAAAUGCAUAUUUGUUACUUGAUAAUAACAUGUCUAAAAUGGACAUUUUAUUUCUUAAAAGCACUUUUUGACAGUAAUACUAAACACUUAAAUUUUAAAUCAAAUUUUUCAAAAGUACUUUUUUACAGUACUUUUCAAAAGCACUGUCAAACUAAUUAUUCUUUAAAAAAGCUAGUGGCGUGGAAGCCCAUAAACAAAGCGGCUCACCAGUCACUAUAGCUUUACCUCUAGUAAAAGAAAAAAAAAGAAAAAAAGUAAUUUAAUUUCAAUUAUUAAAAUAAAAUUUAAUAUCUUAAAUAAUAAUUAGAUUAAAUCAUAAAAACUCAAAAUUUAAUAUAGAUUAAUUUGAUAUUCUCAGUAAUUUUUUUUAAAAUAUAUAUAUUUAGUUUAAAAGUUAAACGUUUCUUGUUAAUUGUAUUAAUAAUUUAAUAAAAUUUACCUUUUAAAUAUAAAAUAUUAUGACAUAUUAAUAUUUUUUUCCAGUGUUAAAAUAAUUAAAAAAAAGUCAAUGAAGCUUUAACAAAGUUGACAAAGAUAGGGUAGAGGUGUGUAUGGGCCGGGCCGGGCUCAACUAAAAUUUUAGGUCCGUUUGCUAGGCCCGAAUCUGGCCCAAAAAAUGAGCCUAAAAUUUUACUAAAGCCCGACUUGGAUAAAUAUGUUAAAACCUAGGUCCGACUCGGCCCGCCCAUAUUAAUUUUUAUAUUAUUUUUAUAUAAUUUUAAAAAACAUAUAAUACAUCAAAAAUAUUAAAAAUAUCAAAAUAAAUAUUUCUCAAGAAAUUGAAAAUAAAUUUUAAAAAAUAUAUAUAUUUAAAUAAUAACAAAAUUAACAUAUGUUUUUAAAAUAAUAAUAAUAAAAUAGUAACAACAUAAUAAUAAAAUGGUAGUAAAAUAGAGUAUUAAAAAUAGAUUUUUUUUUCAAUUAGUGACUUCUGGCCGGGCCGGGCCUCGGGGGUAAAAAAUGCCUUACCAAGGCCUGGCCCGUCUUUUAAACUGGCCUUAUUUUUCUAUUCAAAUCUAUUUUUCGGGCCUAUAUUUUUUGUCUAAACCCUCCCACAUUUUGGGCGGGCCUUUGAGUCGGGCCGGUGGCCCGACCCAUGAACAAGUCUAAGACAGAGACUUUGAACCUUGAAAAAUCGAGUUUUAGUCCCAUUAUUUGCAAUUACAAUGGUUGGGUUCUCUCUCUUACUUUGUGUGGAUUUUAUCCCGUUUUUUCCAAAUUAGUCUGGCUUUUGUUUGAUUCUUUUUUCAUUACUUAACAUCAUAGUUAAUUAAACAUAUAUUUGUAUUUGUCUUAUACUUUUCUUGUAUUGUAUUCUAGUGAAACUUAAAAAAAAAAUAAAAAAUUUUAAAAAUUGAACUUAAAAAUGAAAAUGUAUGUUUCGAAAUAAAUCUCAAAACUUUACAUAAAUUUAAUGUAUAAUUUUAUAUGUGAAUUUUAUUAUGGUACAAUUAUACACAUAGAACUAUGAUUGUCGAACUUUUAUUUUGAUUCAAUGAUAUAUAUUCAAAGAAAUAGAUAUAUCAAUUUAUUUUUAUAUUAGAUAAAUAUAAUUAUUUACAUAUAUAAUAUAUAAACAUAUAAUUGUGUUAUAUUAAUAAUUAUGUUAAUAAUUUGUGAGAAUUGGAUCAAAUUAAAAUUUCACACAUUAAACCAAAGUUAAUGUAUAAUUUUGAGAUUUAACUCAAACAUUAAAUCAUAAUAAAAAGACUAAAUUCAUAAAAAAAUAAUUUAUAGGGACCUUUUAUAAAAUUUUACCUAAUAAUUAUAUUACGUAUGCCAAUAAAGUCAUCAUCUUCGAUGAAGCUUAGUAAAUUCAGUCUCAGAUUAACAGAAAAAAGAAAAAAAAACCCAUAAAAUUCCUCAAAGAAAACCCUCUCUUCCCGCGAAAAUCCUUCUCAAUUUAACAAGAGAAGGAAGUUUUUAAAGCCUUUUGCAAUAAAAUUUUGUUGGAAAGGGCUCAUGGGAAGGGUUCUACAUGAAACACCGAAUCCACCAUUGUCGUCGUCGACGGAAGGCGCCACCACGUCGUCGACGUCGGUGAUGAAGACGUUGAACGGGUCUCACCACUUCAAGAUCACGGGGUACUCGCAAUCAAAAGGUAUGGGGGUCGGAAAAUACAUAGCUUCUGAUAUGUUCAUGGUGGGUGGGUAUUUGUGGGCGGUCUAUUUUUACCCCGACGGUAAGAGCCCCGAAGAUAAUACCGCGUACGUUUCGUUGUUCAUUGCUUUAGCGAGCGAAGGGACGGACGUUAGGGCGCUUUUUGAGCUCACCCUUUUGGAUCAGAGUGGGAAACAGAGGCAUAAGGUGCAUAGCCAUUUUGGAAGGACGCUUGAAAGCGGUCCUUAUACUCUUAAGUAUCGUGGCAGCAUGUGGUAAGGGUUUUAUUUUGCAAUUUCAAUUGGAAUUACAGGGUGGGUUUUUGGGUUUUACGAUGAAUUUUCUUUAGUUGAUUGAAGUUUUGGUGGGUUUAAUCUUUAUUCUUCUUUUGUGACUUUUAUUGGGGUUUUAAUUAUCUUGCAAGAUAGUAAGAACUGCAUAAUGGGUUGUUCUGGUUCUUGUGCUUGUAAUCUUCAGGUUCACUUUGUUGUUUAAGGCUAGAGUCUAGAUCCUCUUCUCUUUUUUUUUACAUUUAUUGAGCAUUAGCCUUUAUGUUGGUUCUUAGGUGGCUAGGAUGUUUGCAUAACAAGUUUGUUGCCUAUGAAAUAGCAAUAUAAUUGCGGGAAAUUUUGGAGGAAUAAAUUAGCUUCAUUCCUGUGACAUACUUUUUUUAUAUAUGAAAAGUAUUUGGGGUAGUUGACAAGAAUAUAAUUUCACAUGAAUUAUGCUAAAAUUGGCUAUUGCACUAGAUUUUGUUAGCCACUAAGGCUGACCUUAAUUGCUAUUAUUAUUAGCAUUACUUUUUUGGUCAUUCUUUCCUUCUCCUAAUCUUAUUAAGAUUCCAUGACUUGUGAAUUUCGAUUUAUUUUGAAAUACAUGUAAUAUAUUGAGUAGAGAUUGUGGGGAUUAGUGAGAAUAAAGCGAAGUUAAUUCAGUCAUAUGUCUGCUUUUAUAUAUAUAUAUAUAAAAACAUGUGUUCUUGUCCGUUUUUUGGUUUGAGACUAGUCAUGUUUGGACCAGGGUGGUAUUCAAGUAAAACCUACCUAAUAGUGAUGGCUCCAGGACUUGAACUCAGUCCAAAUGCUUGGGCAAGAAGUCUACUCCACUUCUUCCAACCAUGCUUUUUUUAUUUUGAGUUUAGCAUGUCUAUAAAAAUUACUUCUUAUUAAAGUGUUCUGUUAAAUUUGAAGGAUUUCAGUUAUUUUUUUUAAAAUUUUUUGCAUAUUGCCUCCUGUUACUGUUUGUGUAGACAUGUUUUUCUUCAAAGCUACACUCUGGUUUCUUUUAUGCUCCAUCUCGAUCCAUACAGUUCAAACUUACUGCAGCUUGUUUAAUUUGGCAUCUUAGUAAAGCAUUUGGUUGCAAUCAAGUAUACAUUGUUGACCAAGACAUAUGCAACAACAUUAUUGCUAGCCUAAUCGAACAAUUCUAUAGUAUUGAUUACUUUACUUUUUUGAUUGUUCAUGAUGUCUGACCUUUACUAACUGGAUGAUAAAUGUUAUUAAGACAUAUGUGGGUUGCGUUAUAUCAGAUUUCAGUCUUAGCCUCUUGGCCUGUAGGUUCUUAGCACCCAAUUCCUGUAGGGGUAUUUGCCAAGUUCCGAGGUUUGGCUCCUCUUGUCUUCCCCCUGAAAUGAACAAAAAGAAGAAGCAUAUUUUAUUUAUUUCCCUCAUUUCUCUUGGUAUAUGAUAACCUUUGGUGAGUAAAGAAGUAAUUAGUUUGAUUUGCUGCAGGGGAUAUAAACGGUUUUUUAGAAGAACUCUUCUUGAGCAGUCAGACUACCUCAAAAACGAUUGCCUCUCUGUUCAUUGUAGUGUCGGAGUUGUUACGUCACAUACAGAAGGUCCUAAGUUCUACUCCAUAGCUGUUCCGCCUUCAAGAAUUGGUCAUCAUUUUGGACAAUUACUAAAAACUGGAAAGGGAACUGAUGUUAGCUUUGAAGUUGAUGGGGAAGUCUUUUAUGCCCACAAGUUGGUACUUGCUGCACGUUCGCCUGUGUUUAGGGCACAACUUUUUGGUCCUAUGAAGGAACAGAAUACAAAGCAGAUAAAAGUUGAAGAUAUUGAAGCUCCGGUUUUUAAGGUUCAUUCAAAUACCCCUCUUCUUAUGUUGGACAAGAACUCAUGCUACUUCUUGACCAAUGAUAAUGCAUUGGUGAUGGAUGCAAAGCAUUAACCUGCUGUGGAUAGCAUACACUGCCUAGGAUGCAUCAUGUCAACUCCAUUGAUAGCAUGCCUGAUGUUAAUAAUUAGUUGGAAACUUCUCCAUGCAAAUUAUAUGCUGGGGUGGCUGAUGCUUAUGCUUUUGAAGUCAAUUUGUGGCAUGUACUGUCUUAAUCUUUUAGUUAAUUGCUUCAUAUAACGCACAUGUAGAUCGUCAAUGGCUAUACACAAAAGUACAUUCCUGAAUGUGCAUUUCUUUACCUUUCUAAAAAUAAUGAUAUUCGAGCUUUAUUUGAAGGCUACAAAAUAUUUUACUCGUCAAGCUAAAGCAAUGUGACUAUAUAAAGUACGCUAUGGUCCGGGUUACUGAUACAGUAUUAUCUCUAUUGACUAUUCCUUAUCUUGCGCUUUGCAGGCCCUACUUCACUUUAUGUACUGGGAUUCUCUACCUGACAUGCAAGAGCUCACUGGUCUCGACUCCAAGUGGGUGACUACAUUGAUGUCUCAGCAUCUGCUUGCUGCCGCAGAUAGGUAUGGACUAGAAAGGUUGCGAUUGCUCUGUGAGUCCAAUCUUUGUGAGGAUGUUACCAUUAACACUGCGGCAACUACAUUAGCCUUGGCCGAACAGCACCAUUGUUUCCAGUUGAAAGCUGUGUGUCUCAAGUUCGUUGCAGUGCCAGAAAAUCUAAGAGGUGAGUGUCUCUUUAUGUUUUGAUAUGUACAUCAAUGUUGAAUUAGGGCUAUCCAUGCCCGAAAAUAAUUGCUUUUAGAUAGAAUGCAUAGCAAGUUAUCAUAUAGCUAUUCUUAAGUUUGUCUUCUUGUUAUGGGUCAUAAAUGCCACAGCUAUUCUCACAUAGAAGUCCCAUAUAGCCGGAUUGUGUCUUAGCCCUCGGGAUAUUAUGCAAUCAUUCUUCAUGCAAUUGAACAAAACACGACCUUAGGGUUUUCUAUCUCGAGCUUUUAUCAUAUAUUGUCGAACCUGAAACCCUUCAUUCAAGUACAGCUAUUCUGAAUGUCUCAUUUGGGAUUUCAUCAAGUCAUACAACUGCAAUUGCACUUUGGUUUAUACCAUCAUCAACAUCCAUAAUCUUUACAAGAUUCAUCCAACUCUUAGGUUUCUCUUGACUGAACCCCCAGCGUUUUUCUUUUGUCUUGGGCAGCUGUAAUGCAAACAGAUGGUUUCGUGUACUUAAAGGAAAGUUGCCCAUCUGUCAUGACCGAGCUGUUGGAGUAUGUGGCUAGAGUGAUUGAGCACUCGAUGUAUGUAUGCAAACAUGGGAUUGAACCCAUCUUUGAUGGAAGUGAUGCAAAUGGUAGGAGGGUGAAGCAACGGCUAUAGCUACAGCUUGGUACAGUUUCCUUACUAAUUAAAAGUAAAAUAAGAAAGAAGAAGAUAUGAAUGACCAAAAAUAGAUGAAAAUACAAUUGGAUUAGAAGAAUUCCUUUUUUUUUUUAAUUUUAUUUCAGUGUUGUAAGCUUGGGUAUUUGUAAGAGAUGUAAAUUUAGUUGUUCCUAUGGUUGCUCUGUAUUGGGAAGUGAUAUUUCCUCAUUAUAUAUUUGCGUUGUAGUUGUGUUUCAUCUUUAAAAUAUUUAUAUAUAACUUAUAAUAGGAUCUAAAUUUGUAUGUUUAAUAAUGCCUUUUAAUUGUAUUAUUAGGUCUACUUCAUUCAAUAUAUGUAUAUCAAAGUACAGAAAAAGGGGGCCAAAUAACCCCAAAUACAAAUCUGAAGAAAAACGAUAUGAAUGUCUGACCAAAAUGAAGUCAUAUCGGAUGAAAACAUGAGGGUAGCCUUUGUAUUGUAAAACUCGGAGUCUCCGGCGGUCGUAUAUUAGUGGCCUGUGGAAAAAUAAAGACAAAAGGUGUGAAGCUAAGUGGUGAUGAGAGGGGAAAAAAGAAAUGGUGAAGACGCGUGGUUGACACUGAGGUCGUAUUUGAACUCUGAUAGAAAUCAUAACAUUUCGAGAAUGAAUUAUGAUCCACGUGUGAUAGCAUAGAAAAUUAAAAAUUGAAUUAAAUAAUGCAUUAACGCAACAAUUAUAUCUUUUUUAACACUCGUAAUAUCAAAAAUCUCAAUCUCUACUUACAAGUUAAGCAAUUAAUUGGUGGGCGUCCACCCCCACCGUGUCUUAAAACAUUAACGAGCUCCUGCUCCCCGUGCCAUUUGUCACCUUCUCAUGCUUCUUAUAUGCUUCCCCAUUGAAAUCGCCGCCGUCCUCAUCCUCAUCCUCCUCUUCCUCCACCUCCUCGCAGUUUUCUUCUUCCGACGACAGUGGCACUAGCCAACAAGUCCCAUGCAAGUGGCCGUUCACGCAAACGAAAUACUCCAACCUCCCGUCACGUGACCCGAGUCGCCGGGCGGCGCUCUUGGGAACGAGCCGAGCCGCCGUCAUGCUCCAAACUCGGGUCCCGCAGUAAGGACACCUAACCCGGUCGUCGAACGCUACUUGCCGUCCGAUCAAGCAGGCUCGUGUGUUGGACCUGAGAAAUCCCCGGAAUACCCCUCGGUAGAUCCCUAAAUCGUCUUCUUUAUCCCCCACUGGGUGCUCACACGGGUCACUGACGAACAACAGAUCCGCCCGACAUUUUUUGGUCAAGAAGCUCCGACCCGAAGUCUUCGAGAACCGAGACGCACCCGCGAAAUGACCCGGAGAAGACCGACUCAGUUUGAAAUUGCGAGUCGACUCACAACCACAACAGAAAAACAUGAGCUUCGCGAGAGCAUCCCAUCCACCACCUAUUCUUCCACUAGGUGAGCCAUUAACCAAUGCCGAUACCAUGCGAGGCGCUCGAUAUACACAGAGCUUCCGCCAUAAUAACCGUUUCGCUAUAGCUCGAAGCUUACGGUUGACUGAAGCGGUCAAACAAAGGACCUGCAAAUCCCAUUUUAUUGACUCGAAAACGAGUAACAGUACACACUCGUUGAGUAUCCCCGAGUCAUCCGACUCGGUUUCUUGACUCAGUGGAUUAAGUCUUCGUCUCUGGGCGGCACUCAUUUCUAUUAGGGGGCGGAGGAGGAUCGGGGGAUAGCGAUGGUAAUUUAAAAGCGCCUAAAUACCAGUGUCUGAAACUCGAGCGAAAGACACGUGUCCAAAUGGAAAUGGAUAGUCUAUUGCCCUAGAUCAUGGGACACGUGGUGUGAUAUCAUUGGAAAGCUUCGACGCGUGGUGGAUUUGUAUUGCGCGAUGCAGGUGAUCGAGGAUCGAGAAUAACGUCAGCUGGUAAAUUGAGAUGUCAGGAUCAGCCUCCACGUGUCCAAUGAUUUCCCCGAAAUACGAGAUAUCUUUUUCAUGCCUCGAAAAUAUCUAGAUGGCUCAAACUUCAACGUGUUGAAUACAAGUUGAGUGCUCUUUUCUUUUCCUAAAUAAAAAAUAAUUUAGUUUGAUUUUUUUGGUUAAAUAAUAUUUUAUUCUUGAAUUUAUUAUUUAUGUCUUUUUUUUAAUGGAUAAUAUUAUAACCAAAUAAAAUAACUUCAAAAAAAUCUAUACUAUAAAUUAAUAAACAUAAUGUAGAGAAAAUGAUAUGAUUGUCUAUAAGUGGUAAAAGCACCUUCUACUUUUAGAGAUAAAUUUAGAUUAAAAUUCCAACUAGAAAUGAUAAUCACAAAUCUUUAAAAAAAAUUCAUCUUUACUAAAGUAAAACGUGAUGGAUUGAUUGCUCAGGUGAAGGUGAAAUCUUCAACGGCAAAGUUUUCUGAAAUUUCACUACUUAUGUUAAAUGACAAUAAUUUCAAAUCGCACACUUUUAAUAUGGAUUUUAAUAAGUUAAAAUAUAUCAUAAAUCUUUAUACUUAAUUAAUUUAUAUAAUAUUAAGGGGAUUUUUGAAAUAAUAUGAUUUUUUUUUUACAAAAAUAAUAUGAACUUUGCAUGAAAAUCCUAAAUUUAUAUGGCGGCAUGGCGAUUGUGAAUUUAAAAUUACAGGAAUUCUAUGUUUCUUUUUAAUACAAUCAUUAUCUUGUAGUCACUCAAAAUCAAUAGCCACCUUAAUGAUUUAGGAUUCUCGUGUAUAGUCCGUGUUAUUUUGAUAAUUAAAAUUUUCAUAUUAUUUCAAUAAAUUUUUUUUUCAUAUUAUUAGAAAAGGUCAAAAAAAAAUAGCUUAAAUUAUUUUGUAAGAGGAGAAAUAGUGGUGGGAUGACACGUGGAAACAUAUUAACAGACCGCGUGUUUGCUUCCAUUUAUGAAACGAUAGCUGUUGAUAAAAAAGGAAGCGGGAAAAGGCUUAUUUGACUCGUGAUCAGCACGUGGAUUGAAGAUUCUAAUUAUGGAUUGAAGUGAUAAUUCUAAAUAAUAAUAUAUUAAAAUACAAGAAACUUAAUUAAAAAUAAUUAUAAUAUGAUACUUAUAUAAACAAUACAAUUAAUACAGAUGUGAUAUCAAUAUAUAAAUAUUUUAAAAUUUAAGAGAAAUUAUACAAAUGGUCAUUUAAUUGUACUUGCGUUCCUGUUUUGAUCACUUAGCUUUAAAAAAUUUCAAUGUAGACACUAAUAUUUAAAUUUAUUCCUAUUUUUGUCACCUGUCAUUAAAUUGUUCUAACUAGUAUAAUAACACAUUCAGUCCUUAAUAUUUACAUAUUAUAUCAAUUUGAUCUUAUUGCCAAAUCAUUCAAUAAAUAUAACUUUUUACACUUAUAAAUUCUAUCAAUUUAAUCCUCAAACUUUCUAACUAAAUGUUUCAGCUUUUAAAAUAAAAAAAAAAAACAUUCUGCAUCAAUAAAUUUGUACCAAAACAAAUUCUGCAAUAAACAAGUGGUAAAAAGCUCUAUAUUGGUAUUAAAAGUAACUCAAUAUUUUCUUUUCUAAUUUACAAUAUUCAAAUUUAAAUAUUUAAAUAUUAAAAUUUUAUCAGUUAACUAAAUAAAUAUAUGAUCUGUAUGCAACGUAAUGGAUAUCCCAUGAAAAAGGGACACCCUUUUUGUCUUAAGUACAAUUUUAUUAAUAGGGUUAUUUAAAGCUAUAUUUCUUCAAGGUUUAAUUGUGUCCAUACAACCCUUCUUAACAGGUCUCCUUAACAUUCAAAUGAAAUCUUUGAUGACUGAUUCAAUAAUCAAAAAGUUGUUGGUUGUAGAUGAGUAAUUUCGAAAAUUUGUCGAUAAAGGAAUUGGUUUGAAAAGUGCUCAUUAGUUGGUUUUAUAAAUUUAUAGACUUGUUGAAUUUUAAUUAAGAAUGUAAGUAUUGUGAACUAAAUAUGUUAUUAUACUAUUUUAAAAAUAAUUUUUUAUUAUCAAUUUAACUACGAAUGACUAAAAUAAGAGUUAAUUCAAAUAUUAGUGCCUAAAUUAAAAAAAUUUAAAGUUGAAUGACAAAGCAGGAAGUUGGAGAUCAUUUGUAUAGUUUAACUUAAAUUUCACAUUACCAAAUUUAUAUAAAUAAAAAAAUAAUAUUAAAAAAAAAGAUAUUUAUUUGUAUUUUUUUAAUGAAUUAUAAUAAUAGAAUAAAGUUCGAAUAAUAAAUGAAACUCGAACCCAUGUAACACCUAUAAUUAUUAUUAAAAACAAAAACAAGAGUGAGGAGUUAGCGAAGCUAAACUAACUUUUUAUGUUGGUUGGGAUAGGAGCAAUUUAUUACAUUAUGAGGUUCGAGCAGCUUUUCAGCAUAAAUGGGUGCCCACUCAUUUAUAGCUCAUAAAUAGAUUCUUUACCUUUUUCCGAGCUAUAAGUUAUGAUUUUGAUUUUUUUUAUUACUAGUUGAUUAACGUAAAAUAUAAAUAUAAAAAUAAUAAAAUUAAACAGUUUAGUGAUUAUUUAUAAUUAAGAGAUAAAAAAGAAUAGUUGGAUAAUCUCUACGGUAGUUUAUCCUUAAAAUAUUAAAAAAUAAUUUAUUUGACAGUUUAAUUAAUUUUUUAGUCUAGAUAAAUUAAUUUGUACCAAUUUUCAAAUUAAUUAGCUCAAAAUAAUUCGAUGAAUCAAUUUUCAAUCCAAUCAACUAACUUAGAGAAAAGUAUUAAAUUAACUGAAUUUUUAAUUCUUUUUUAUAAAAUAUAAUGAUUUAUUUAAUUGGACCAACAUAUCAAUAACUUAAUUGACCAGAAAAAUGAAUGAAUCCGAGGCAACAAACCUCUGCUAAAUUCUAUCCCAACCCUCUUAUAAUAACCCUCCGUAUGAUUGUAUCAACAAUCUUUUAUUUCUAAUUUAGCGAAAUUAUAUUGAUAUAAUUAGUGCAUAUUUUAAAUAAUAUCAAGUCAUCUUUUAAAAAAUAUAUAUUAAUUAAUUAUGAAUUGCAUCCCUUGAUUUAAAAAAAAAUUAAUAGCAAGAUUUAAUACUAUUAUUUAAUUAAACUAACAUUUCAAUUUUGGAUUAAUUUUUUAGUAAAAACUAAAAAAGGAUGGAUUUUAUAAUUAGAGCAAAAAAUGUGGGCACAGCUUCGGCAGAUCGCUUAGCCCCGUUCAUCUUCGGCGCAAGAGCGCUCGAUCAGUGAGCUAUUACGCACUCUUUCAAGGGUGGCUGCUUCUAGGCAAACCUCCUGGCUGUCUCUGCACCCCUACCUCCUUUAUCACUGAGCGGUCAUUUAGGGGCCUUAGCUGGUGAUCCGGGCUGUUUCCCUCUCGACGAUGAAGCUUAUCCCCCAUCGUCUCACUGGCCGACCUCAACCCCUAUUAUUUU
RNAcentral lists this long non-coding RNA (24233 nucleotides) under Gossypium barbadense (sea-island cotton). Its description in RNAcentral is "long non-coding RNA (GBAR_LNC007698)". Lineage: Eukaryota; Viridiplantae; Streptophyta; Magnoliopsida; Malvales; Malvaceae. The record is from RNAcentral.